This 465-nucleotide ribosomal RNA is filed under the name uncultured bacterium. Its description in RNAcentral is "bacterial SSU rRNA". It matches the Rfam family "Bacterial small subunit ribosomal RNA", at positions 29 to 506 of the family's 1533-position model. The record is from RNAcentral.
ACGAACGCUGGCGGCGUGCUUAACACAUGCAAGUCGAACGAUGAAGCCCAGCUUGCUGGGUGGAUUAGUGGCGAACGGGUGAGUAACACGUGAGCAACGUGCCCAUAACUCUGGGAUAACCUCCGGAAUCGGUGGCUAAUACUGGAUAUCUAACACGAUCGCAUGGUCUGUGUUUGGAAAGAUUUUUUGGUUAUGGAUCGGCUCACGGCCUAUCAGCUUGUUGGUGAGGUAAUGGCUCACCAAGGCGACGACGGGUAGCCGGCCUGAGAGGGUGACCGGCCACACUGAGACUGAGACACGGCCCAGACUCCUACGGGAGGCAGCAGUGGGGAAUAUUGCACAAUGGGCGAAAGCCUGAUGCAGCAACGCCGCGUGAGGGAUGACGGCCUUCGGGUUGUAAACCUCUUUUAGUAGGGAAGAAGCGAAAGUGACGGUACCUGCAGAAAAAGCACCGGCUAACUACGU